GACCCCUAACCUCACCCUUAAAUUAUCCACAAGGUUAUCCAACAAAAUUAUCGUCUGAGGCAAGAAAUCACGAAGCAAUAACACUAGAACGAUCCCCACGACGUAAGUAUCGCUAUAUAGCCUCUCUUUUUCUUUGUAGUUUGAGUUUUGGAAGUUAUUUUGAAGUUAAUAAAAAUGACUAAUUUCUGGUUUCAAGCUCUUAAACAUCAAGGUAGAUUCAUCAAUUUAUUUCAUAAUAGUUAGAACUCAUGGGACGGUGAUCGGAAGCUCUGAGUUCGAGUUAUUUGAUUUGUAAAGGACUGUUUUGUGGGCUGUUUCGUGUAGCUUUUGGCUGUAUAUUUUGCUGAUAUUUAAUGGAGUUUUUGGAAGAUAAAUUGUGUGGAGAAACAUCACCUAAUGACAAAAUGAUAGAUUAGUCAUUCUUUGUAAUAGUUUCGGGGCGUUGGACACUACUAUAAUUGUCAUUUUUGGUAUGAAUUGAUUGGGGUGUGUUGGACUGUUGUAAUCUAAAUAUAACAUGGAUUUCAGCUUUCAUACACUAUCGCAGGUAAUUAUAUUGUGUUCCUUCAGGCGCUUAAGGUUAUCUUGGCGUUUGUUAAGUUAAAUGGAUGAACUAGACAUGAACUAGUGUAUAAAGUUGCUAAUUAAGAAAAAUUGGAGUUGUGCAUCAUUUUCUUUGUUAUGGAUAUAUGUUAUAAGGCUGGAAUUAUUGAUUAAUGACUUUAUUGUCAUGUUAAUGAUACUAUUAAGUUAAAGUAAAAAGUCUAUAAGGGAUGAUAUGGGGCAUACAAAUUCCAAUUGGAGUUUGUCGCUCGUCGUAAAAUAGUUAUGACUUGUUGUUGUUUUUUGAUGUCUUGUUAUUGAUAAUUAUAUAUUGCUGGAUUUCUAUGGUAAUUGUUGUUGGUAUAUGGUAUUGGAGGAGGCUCUUGUUUUAGGGGAGAUGCUGCCCGAAUUUAUAUAAACGAACUACAAGUUUAAGUUGCAGACUUAGCCUUUAUUCAACACUGAUUUUAAAUCUCCUUAUGCAAUGGUAGAUUGAGUUGAGUUGUUUGAAGAGUAGCUUUGGAGGUAUUAUUAAGGACUCACCAUGGUUAAGGUAUGUUAAGGCACUUCCCUCUUUCUUUUGGCAUGAUCUAAAGUGAAAUGAAUACUCUAUUUCAUAACGGAUCUACUCCUAGAAACUAAGGUUGCCCAUGUUGUUCUUUCCUUAUAAAGUUAUUCUAAGCAAGUAUGUAUGAUCCUUGAAUCCUAUAGAAGCUCAUAUUGAUGGUAUGAUGUCCAUAAUGUUAAUCGAAGGUGCAACGACCUUAAGUCACUCCAAAAGGUUUAGAACGUGACUCCAUGAGUCUAGUAUGAACUAUAUAUAGUAUCUAUUUUACUCUACCGAGUCGCGCUAUAGUAGGCCGGGUACUGCACCUAUUGUGCAACCACUGAUCAGUUGAUUUACCGAGCUUCACGUGGCUGGGUACGAUUCUACCGAGCCUUAUGAUGGUCGAGUACAUUUUUAUCGAGUCCUCUUUGAGGCCGGGUACAAUAUGAUGAUGAUGAUGCCUACAGAGGCGUAUGUUUUUAAAUGUUUAUGUAUAUAUGUGUAUUAUGCAUAUCAUGUCAGUAGCCCCCAGAGGCAUGCAGAUGUUUUAGGUUGUAUCUCCUCUAUCUCUCUUUAUAUUAUUGUUCUUGUUUAUGCUUUCCUGCCUUACAUACUCGAUACUUUAUUUGUACUGACGCCCCUUUUGCCUAGGGACGCUGCAUUUUAUGCCCGCAUGUCCCAAUUGAUAGGUUGACAUUCCUCCUAGUAGGCUAUCAGCUCAGCGGAGGUGUUGGUGCACUCCACUUGCUCCGGAGUUGCCUAUUUGGUCAGUAUGCUUUGGAUAUGUAUUGAUUGAUAUGGCGGGGCCCUGUCCCGACCUUUAUGAUUUUAUGUACUCUUAGAGGCUUGUAGAUAGAUGUAAGGUUUAUGGAUACUUGUAUGGCCUUAUUGGCCUAUGUGUUGAGUUUACAAAUGGUUAUGUCGUCCUUAUAGGCCCGUAUGUCACGUGUAUGAGUUUCUACAUCAUAUUGGGUUGUCUUAUGUAUAAUAUUCUUUUAUAUUUUAUUCUGGUUAUCUCAUGACGACCCUUUUGACCCAUUUACCCAUGAUAGUAUUAUAAGAAAUGAAAAACUAUGUUGGUACUCGGUUGAGUAAGGUACCGGGUGCCCAUCACGGCCCUCCUAUUUGGGUUGUGAUAAAAGUGGUAUCACAGCAGUUCUAUCCUAGGGAAUCUACAAGCCGUGUCUAGUAGAGUCUUGUUUAUGGGUGUGUUGUGUACCACACUUAUAAGCAUGAGGCUACCGGGUAUUUAGGACUGUCACUCUUUCUUCUUGCUCUAGAUUGUGUUGUAGAGCUCAAUUGUAAGAAUUCAAACUUCUAUUAUAUUCGUAAUACAACGAUACCUCAUCCAAAUAAACAGUUGGUAUGAGAUUGACUAUGGUUCUUGAAGAGUUGAGUCAGAGGAACUCGAUUUUUUAUCAUGCUUAUGAUGAGCAAAUGUGGGGUCUUCAGCAGAUCAUGUGUAUUCUAAGAUGUGUAAGCUUCUUGAUAAGGAGCCCUAAGGCAAGAAUAUCUAUCCACUCGUAUGGUAAAAAGGAAUAAGUGAAUCAGAAAGUAGACACAAGUUUCAGAAAGUAAAACAAGCAAGAUGACGAAAGGUACGAGGUACCUAGUUAAUGAAGAUUAUCAGUAUUUACAAUUCAGGCAGAGAAAUGUAAGUAUUGGUGUUACCUUCAAUGUUAAUGGUGAUAUAUACAAUUGACCACACCCAUCUCAGUUGUGCCCUAUGGGAGCUAACAAAUAUAGUUUAAAAGAAGAAGGUGAUAUCAAGAUUCAAUUCGGGUUAGAGUAACCAAAAAUUAUGAAUGGAUUGUUAUCAUUAACUAAUGUAUCCGAAGGAUAGUGCAAAUGUGGUAAUAGAUCUCCUUGUGAGACACCUAGAUGGUGAACUUUAGAAUAAUACAAUCAGAUAUGAAUACUGGAAUAUUCAGAAAUUUCAGAAGAUAGGAAGUGGGAUCCUAAAAGCGACAAAUAUUUACCUUAGUAUGAAUCCAGCCACGAGUAAAAAAAAGGAGAAUGUUAGGCAUUCCGAAGAGCCAGUGAGAUGAAUCAAGGGGAGCUAAAAGGGAAAGAACAUUUUGUCAGAGUUUUCAGAAUAAAGUGAUAGAUAAAGAUAUUAUCCGGAGAAUAAGAAGAGAGUAAAUGAAGCAUCCUGAGUAAGAUGUAAUAUAUGGGUGAUAACAUUAAAUCAAAAUAUGACACGAUGAUAGAGUCUAUAGUCAAGCAAAGGAAAAAUACAAGAGGUGACAGGCCUUCAGGCAAUAAAAGAGUAUCAGCCAUAAAGUCAUAUCCUUAUUUCGAGAAAUGAGUUAGUGACUUCAACGUGAUUACCAGGAGGAAAGGUUAGACCCCAGAGUAAUAAAAAUCAGUAUGGGGUGGUGAACAAUAUAGAACAUGAAUUAGGGACUGAAGGAUUUUAUAAUUGUUGAUAUCAUGAGAAUUUCAGAGAUAUCAUUCCGAAAAUAAUAGAAUGGACAAAAAAAAUAAUAACCUUUAAGGUUCAUUCAGGAAGAUGCUUCCCUAAAGCAAGCACGUGGAGCAGAGUUAAGCUUAAGGGAGUAAGUGUGCUAGUUACACUAAGUGUCACCCUUGUGCGUAAUAAAUUCAAUUAUCCCUGGUAUAGAGAGGUUACCGCAAGGCGAGUAAGAUGUUAGUGAAGAUGUGAACAAAUGGCAAAAUGAAGAGGUAACUAUGGAAUAGUAAAGGAGGAAUGCGGUAAAAGGGUGAAAGGAAUGAGAUAGCAUCUAUUCAGAUCCUAUAGAUAUGAUAUGACUCCAGAACAUUAUGCAAGCAUGAUGCCGGAGAGAAGUGGUAAGGGUUGCGCACCCGAUGAUAUUGAUAAAUAAGUGCAAAUGAACACUUGAUGCAUAAAGAGCCAAUACGAGAGGUAACUUAAGGCAAAGUAAAUAACUAAAGAGAGAUUAUGCGGAAUAUAGAUAUGGGAAUGGACCAACGAGUAGUUUGUAGUUGAUUCAAGAAGAGCCAAGUUAUGGCUAUACAAGAGGUUAUAAGCAAAUCAGCAGAUCAUGCAAGAUAAAUGUAGUGAAUUCUAAUCUAGUAAAUUCAGUCUCGCAGAUAUAAUGUUGUAACCUUGAGAAAUAUUCAGAUAGGAGUUGGGUUACUAAAGGUAUCGUAUAAGUGUUACAGAAAUAAUGGAGAGUGCCACUAAGGAGACAAUCAAAAUCUAAGUCUAGAAGUAACCCUACGAGCACAAGGGCACGAAGGUAUGUAACUAAGGAUGUUUGUAGGCGAGCAAGAACAUCGAAAAUUCCUUCGGGUAUACAGUAUAACAAGAUCGUAACUUUACAAGAUCCAAAAGGUCUCCUUAAUUACUACAAAGAAAGAUUAGCUGAGGAAAUAAGGAAGAAAGCUUCAACUUAAGCAUAACGAUAUAAAGAAGAAAUGGUCUUGUAACAACAGUUUCACUACAAUAUGGUAUACACUCCAUAAGAAAGUGGAACCUAUCGUGACUAAUGAACAGGAAGUCAAAAGUGAUAUUUGUGAUCAUAUGAGUUAUAGGAAAUUCAAGUAUUGGUGGGCAAUAAGAUAAGCCAAGAAUUCAUGCAACAAGUGGCAAAACGACCAGGAAAAGUGAUUGCUUACUUUUAAAGAACGUUGAGAAUGCACAAAAGGAAUUAUUCAAUCAAUGAUCCAAAGUUAAUUACGCUAUGAAUGCACUUAAGACUUUAGAGUUAUAUCUAUGCAGCAUAUAUGUUGACAUUCAUACAGCUACAGGAGACUUUGGUAUAAGUUAAAAGAAAGAAUUAAGUCCACGUGACCUAUAAAGGCUUGAAUUGUUAGAAGAUUAUAUCAUGGAUGCUACAUAUAGUCCAUGAAAGGCUAAUGUAAUAGCUAAUACCCUAAGCUGAAGAUUGGAAGAUAGCAUAAGCUUAUUUAAAGGCUGAGAAGGAAGAGGAAGCUCGAAAGUUACAUCAUGAGUCUGAUUGUUAGACACAGAUGAUUAUAGAAAUCAUGACUCAAACCAUAUCAGGAGCACUUUUAAUAGUAGAGGUAUAAGAGAUAUAGUACAACAAUCGUAUUCUAGAAAAUCUCUACGAUAAAGCAAUUAGAAGAGUACCAGCCUCAUAAGACAUUAAUAUGAAGCUCUCACCAGAUUGUGUAUGCACCAGGGUUACAAGUAUUAUAGUAGAGCUUUAAGGUAUGGAUGUGAAUUCCACCAAUGUAGAAGGGAGGUUAUGAAAUCGAUAGAAGAUACGGUGCGAAAUUUAAAGGUAAGUAUGGUAAAUGUGAGUGAGAAGGUGACAAUAAUAGUCAAGGUCUCAUGAUUAAACUCGUCAAAACAAGAGAGCUAAUGCUUUCCAUGAGCAAUAGAAAGCUCGGUACACUCUAAAUGAACUCAGAGGAGUCUAAGAACAGGAGCAAUUAGAGGAGAUGGAAUACUGCCCUGGUAGUAGAAUAAGGGUGUAAUUGUGAUAGUUAAGAGAAUGACGUUUGGGCCUUCGAUUGAGUAAUGAUUUAACGAAAAGGGAUUUCAUAGAUGGUACAGUAUUAGAAUGUCCUCGUAAGAUGAAUACGUUGGGAUGUUAUGAGAAUGCAGUUAUUGAAGUAUAGUAUCAUCCCUAUGUGUGUCAAAAAAAUCACUUCAAACAUUCCCCGAUGAGACGUGAGCCUUAGUGACAAUGUAUUACAUUCGAGGCGAUGGUUGGAGUUAGUGAAAGACUAUGAUGUUUAUAUUUUAUAUCAUCCAGGGAAGGCGAAUGUAGUAGUCAACACCCUCAACGUAGAUCUAUGUGUAGCCUAUCAUAUUUACAGGCAUAGAAGAGUGAGAUAGCUUGUGAGAUUCAUCUGCUAGCUAAUCUUGGAAUUCAAUUACUAGAUGCAGGUGGUACCAGAGUUACUGCUUAGGACAUGGAAACCUCCUCUUUAGUAAUUAAAGUGAAGGAAUGCCAGUAUGAAGAUCAUGUGCUAGAUCAUUAUAGAGAUACAACCCCUCAAAAGGAGAAGACACUAUUUAAGAUUACAGGAGAUGGAGUCCUCAGAUAUCGAGGCCGAUUAUAUGUUCCUAAUGUGGCAGGGUGAGAUGGAGUCCUCAAAUAUUAAGGUCGAUUGUAUGUUCGUAAUGUGGCAGGGUUGCGCCGGCAAGUUAUGGGACAAGCAAUGAGAAAGUAACCUAGAGUUGUGUAACACACCUCGGUAAUAAUACCAAGGCUAUAAAACGAGAUAUAGCAAUAGUCGUACAUUCAGCAAAGUACCAACCGAAGAGCUUAAGUAUACCUAUAUAUGCUCAGAGGGACAUGAUGUCAUAGUUCUAUAUAUGUAUUUAGAAAGUGAAGCCAAGAGAUUGGCAAAAAGCUGGAGGAAAAAAAGAGAGAAGAGUCGUGCAUAAAAGGACAUAUUCAUGUAGGAUACAUCAUAGAAGGUAGUCGAAGUUACGAGAUUGGAAGAACUCCAGCCAUAGUUCGCAAGGUGAGAAUAGGCCAAAAGGGAGGAAUGCCCUGGUUUUUAAAUUUAUUCACAGAACAAUAACCUAGAUGACAAAGGACAAUAUUAAAGUAUUCAUAAGAGCCAUAUGGUAUGAGAAUGAGAAGUGCACCAGUCAACAUUCGAGGACGAAUGUUCCAAAGGGGGAAAUAAUGUUACAACCCAUGUUUUUGUACCUGAAAGUACGUCGUGAGUCAAUUGAUGUAAGCUCAAAAAGGAUGAAAUCCUUCUACAAGGACAAGAAAGGUUUGCCAAAAUGUUAAGCAAGUUAAGAUGAAUAUGAGACUUUUUAAUCAUGAUUUAAAUGAGUUUAAAGCCAUGAUAUGACUAUAUAUGAUGUUUGUAUAUGAAGUAUAAAGUUUGAGAAAAAUCGCAUUUAAGUUACGGAAAAACCGACUAAGGAUUUGCCUUGUAAUGAAGCUUUUUGAGUAAUAAAUUUUCUGUGCUAUAUGAGGUCUUUUUGGGACAUAUUAUAUCAAAUUGAAGGUCUUGGAAUUUAGUUUCUAACGCUCUUAACUAUUCAUUCAUACGAUAUCCGGAUAAAAAGAUAUAAGUACUUGAAAAAGGGCUAAUGAGAUGGUGCCAAGUAGCACCUUUUGACUUUUCAACCAAAAUGGAUAUUUAUCUUGCUAUGUCGUCUCUUUCUUCAUAAUUCCAGAGAGCUCGACCAAAUAAGACCCCUAACCUCACCCUUAAUCUGUGCACAAGGUUAUCCAACAAGAUUAUCGUCCGAGGCACGAAAUCAUGAAGCAAUAACACUAGAACGAUCCCCACGACGUAAGUAUCGCUAUAUAGCUUCUCUUUUUCUUUGUAGUUUGAGUUUUGGAAGGUAUUUUAAAGUUAAUAAAAAUGCCUUAUUUCUGGUUUCAAGCUCUUAAACAUCAAGUAAGAUUCAUUAAUUUAUUUCAUAAUAGAUAGAACUCAUGGGACGGUGAUCGGAAGCCGUGAGUUCGAGUUAUUUGAUUUGUAAUGGACUGUUUUGUGGGCUGUUUCGUGUAGCUUUUGGGCUGUAUAUUUUUCUGCUAUUUAAUGGAGUUUUUGGAAGAUAAAUUGUGUGGAGAAACACCACCUAAUGGCGAAAUAAUGGAUUAGUCAUUCUUUGUAAUAUUUUUGGGGCGUUGGACACUACUAUAGUCGUCGUUUUUUGUAUGAAUUGAUUGAGGUAUCUUGGGCUGUUGUAAUCUAAAUAUAACAUGGAUUUCGACUUGCAUUCACUGUAGCAGGUAAUUAUAUUGUGUUCCUACAGGCGCUUAAGGUUAUCUUGGCAUUUAUUAAGUUAAAUGGAUGAACUAGACAUGAACUAGUGUAUAAAGUUGCUAAUUAAGAAUAUUUGGAGUUGUGGAUCAUUUUCUUUUUUAUGGAUAUAUGGUAUAAGGCUGAAUAUUGAUGAAUGACUUCAUAUUCAUGUUAAUNAUACUNNNNNNNNNNNNNNNNNNNNNNNNNGGAGGCUCUUGUUUUAGGGGAGAUGCUGGCCGAAUUUAUAUAAACGAACUACAAGUUUAAGUUGCAGACUUAUCCUUUAUUCAACACUGAUUUUGAAUCUCCUUAUGCAACGGUAGAUUGAGUUGAGUUGUUUGAAGAGUAGCUUGGGAGGUAUUAAGGACUCACCAUGGUUAAGGUAUGUUAAGGCACUUCCCUCUUUCUUUUGGCAUGAUCUAAAGUGAAAUGAAUACUCUAUUUCAUAACGGAUCUACUCCUAGAAACUAAGGUUGCCCAUGUUGUUCUUUCCUUAUAAGUUAUUCUAAGCAAGUAUGUAUGAUCCUUGAAUCCUGUAGAAGCUCAUAUUGAUGGUAUGAUACCUUCGCGCUGACCGUUCGCUUUCUCAGUAGCAAAAGCGCUUCUCUUUGCCCCUUAACCUUAAGUAGAAGGACAAGAAAGAGAUUAUUGAUUUUCUUGCUCCCGCUUCCUCAUAUGCGCUCAUCAAGCCAACUUUGCUCUUUGGGAGGUGAAACAGCGGUUAAAGCGGACAUUUCAAAAUGACAGCAUCGAAGAUAUAUUUCUAUAUAUACACGGUUAUAGCUAUCUCGGACUGCGAUGUCCAUAAUGUUAAUCGAAAGUGCAACGACCUUAAGUCACUCCAAAAGGUUUAGAACGUGACUCCAUGAGUCUAGUAUGCACUAUAUAUAGUAUCUAUUUUACUCUACAGAGUCGCGCUAUAGUAGGCCGGAUACUGCACCUAUUGUGCAGCCAUUGAUCAGUUGGAUUUAUCGAGCUCCAUGUGGCCGGGUACGAUUCUACCGAGCCUUAUGUUGUCCGGGUACAUUUUUACCGAGUCCUCUUUGAUGCUGGGUACGAUAUGAUGAUGAUAAUGCCUAUGGAGGCGGAUGUUUUUAAAAGUUUAUGUAUAUAUAUGUAUUAUUCAUCUUAAGUCAGCAGCCCCCAGAGGCACACAGAUGUUACAGAUUGUAUCUCCUCUAUCUCUAUUUAUAUUACUGUUCUUGUUUAUGUUUUCCUGCCUUACAUACUCGGUACUUUAUUUGUACUGACAUCCCUUUUGCCUAGGGACGCUGCCUUUUAUGCCUUCAAGUCCCAAUUGAUAGGUUGACAUUCCUCCUAGUAGGCUAUAAGCUCAGUGGAGGUGUUGGUGCACUCCACUUGUUCCGGAGUUGCCUAUUUGGUCAGUAUGCUUUGGAUAUGUAUUGAUUGAUAUGACGGGGCCCUGUCCCGACCUUUAUGAUUUUAUGUACUCUUAAAGGCUUAUUGACAGAUGUCAGGUUUAUGGAUACUUGUAUGGCCUUGUUGGCCUAAGUGUUGAGUUUACAAAUGGUCAUGUCGUCCUUAUAGGUCUGUAUGUCACAUGUAUGAGUUUCUACAUCAUAUUGGGUUGUCCUAUGUCUAGUAUUCCUUUAUGUUUAUUCUGGUUAUCUCAUGACGACCCUUUUGGCCCAUUUAUCCAUGAUAGUAUUAUAAGAAAUUAAAAGUUACGUUGGUACUCGGUUGAGUAAGGUACCGGGUGCCCGUCAUGGCCCUCCUAUUUUGGUCGUGAC
This 9519-nucleotide long non-coding RNA is filed under the name Nicotiana tabacum (common tobacco). RNAcentral describes it as "long non-coding RNA (NTAB_LNC000523)". The record is from RNAcentral. Lineage: Eukaryota; Viridiplantae; Streptophyta; Magnoliopsida; Solanales; Solanaceae.